CCUACGGGAGGCAGCAGUAGGGAAUCUUCCGCAAUGGACGAAAGUCUGACGGAGCAACGCCGCGUGAACGAUGAAGGCCUUCGGGUCGUAAAGUUCUGUUGUUAGGGAAGAACAAGUGCUAGUUGAAUAAGCUGGCACCUUGACGGUACCUAACCAGAAAGCCACGGCUAACUACGUGCCAGCAGCCGCGGUAAUACGUAGGUGGCAAGCGUUGUCCGGAAUUAUUGGGCGUAAAGCGCGCGCAGGCGGUUUCUUAAGUCUGAUGUGAAAGCCCCCGGCUCAACCGGGGAGGGUCAUUGGAAACUGGGAAACUUGAGUGCAGAAGAGGAAAGUGGAAUUCCAAGUGUAGCGGUGAAAUGCGUAGAGAUUUGGAGGAACACCAGUGGCGAAGGCGACUUUCUGGUCUGUAACUGACGCUGAGGCGCGAAAGCGUGGGGAGCAAACAGGAUUAGAUACCCUGGCAGUCCACGCUGUAAACGAUGAGUGCUAAGUGUUAGAGGGUUUCCNCCCUUUAGUGCUGAAGUUAACGCAUUAAGCACUCCGCCUGGGGAUACGGUCGCAAGACUGAAACCUCAAAGAGUAGUAGGACGUGAGAGAGCGACGACGACGACGACGGAGGAGGAG
Molecule: ribosomal RNA, 624 nt
Filed under: uncultured bacterium
Lineage: Bacteria
Description: bacterial SSU rRNA
Rfam family: Bacterial small subunit ribosomal RNA
Source: RNAcentral